UGGGGAAUAUUGCACAAUGGGCGCAAGCCUGAUGCAGCCAUGCCGCGUGUAUGAAGAAGGCCUUCGGGUUGUAAAGUACUUUCAGCGAGGAGGAAGGUGUUGAGGUUAAUAACCUCAGCAAUUGACGUUACUCGCAGAAGAAGCACCGGCUAACUCCGUGCCGGCAGCCGCGGUAAUACGGAGGGUGCAAGCGUUAAUCGGAAUUACUGGGCGUAAAGCGCACGCAGGCGGUCUGUCAAGUCGGAUGUGAAAUCCCCCGGGCUCAACCUGGGAACUGCAUUCGAAACUGGCAGGCUAGAGUCUUGUAGAGGGGUAGGAUUCAGGAUUGUCAGCGGUGAAGUUGCAUGUAGAGAUCUGGAGGAAUACCGGUGGCGAAGGCGGCCCCUGCAGCAAAGACUGACGCUCAGGUGCGAAAGCGUGGGAGCAAACA
Molecule: ribosomal RNA, 430 nt
Filed under: uncultured Enterobacteriaceae bacterium
Lineage: Bacteria; Pseudomonadati; Pseudomonadota; Gammaproteobacteria; Enterobacterales; Enterobacteriaceae
Description: bacterial SSU rRNA
Rfam family: Bacterial small subunit ribosomal RNA
Source: RNAcentral